This 7672-nucleotide long non-coding RNA is filed under the name Homo sapiens (human). Its description in RNAcentral is "HSALNT0082761". Lineage: Eukaryota; Metazoa; Chordata; Mammalia; Primates; Hominidae. The record is from RNAcentral.
CCUGAGUCUGUGGAGGGAGAGCACACUCCCAGGCAUCAACUCACAUGACGCAGAUUUGAUGCUUGUGGAUAGGCAGCAAGGAACAACAGGAGUUUGUGGGAGCUGCUUCCUCGAGACUCAGAAAGCUGCCGGGGUGGAUGGAGCUUUGACUGUGUGUGCCCCCGUUGUGCUGUAGAUGAGGGACCCUGAAAUGCAGCCCACACUGGGUUUUACACCACGGGGGAACAUGAUGCAAGGAGCUCCAGAAUUGAAGGACGUCCCGUUUCUAGGGGAGGGUGGGAACAGAGCCUGAGAAUUCCAGCCUGCUCACCCUUAUCUCAGAGUGUUGCAUUCCCAGGACAUCUUCCAAGGCCACCUGGAGAGCUGUCCUGCAGUGACACACCUCAGCUUACCCAGCGUAGAAGAGCCCAAGGGUGGUGCUUCAGCACCCUAGGAAAUGUGCCAGCAAGGUCUACAGUAUCAGCAACUUUACCUCUCCCUCCCAGAGCUUUCUGGAGUGCUUAGCAGAAGACAGAGGACUCUAAAGUGUGAAUGUGGAAUGGAAAUUGAGGCCACCGGCAACGGCUGCGUCGAAGAGUAACUUGCGAACGCAUAGGGAUUCACAGGAUAGAUAUUGUCUGGAUAUCAGGGCGAAAUGUUAAUUAGGGAUCAAAAUGUCCUUUUAAAUUAGCUAUGUUGAAGAGAAAGGAGAAGACCAGGAAACAGAAGAAAGAUAUCGUUAUGUGGUAUUUUGGAAUAAAUAUUUAUAGAAAACAAUGAUCUGUUUGUUUAAAAACUACCGAUCUAAAAUGCUGCCCCGUCUCAUCCCUUCUUCCUGCUUUAUUUUCCUUCUCACUGUUUAUUCCCUGACAUGUUGUAAACUAACUUAUUUAUCUUGCAAAUGUUUCCUACUAGAAUGUAAGGCCCAUGAGGGCGGACGUUUUGCCUCAUUCUCUUUGGAACAGUGGACACACAGGGACUUACACAAAAAUCUGUUGAAUGAAUGAAUGUACGCUUCCAUACAUUGUAUUGGAACCUUUUCAUAUCUUUACAAACUUGUAGCAAAUCAACCAAACGUUAUUAGAAGGCCUAUUGUUUCUGUACACAUUCAAAGUAGUUCCUUAAAGUGUUCAGUGUUUUUUACCAGUUUAUUUUCAUGAAACUUUUUUAAAACACACGUCUUAAGGAUCAUACCGUGUUUUUUGAUGCUGCAGUUUUCCGUGUAUCUAAUUACAGGACUGUUUCCAAUACUCUCCCUGGUUCUGCAUUUCCUCAGCCACCAUGAGCACAUUCUAUUCUAUGGUCAUUGGAUCGGCAUUUUAAAUCCUGUUUGGCAGAAAGAGAGUCUCAUGUUUAGGUCCAAGAUGUAAUGGAUCUCUCUAAAGGACAGCAUGACAUUUCCUGUGUAAAACAACUAAAAUCCAGAAUCCACUUCCUGGUCAAUAUCGUGGGGACUACCUAAGCAGCAUGUGAGAACACACACACACACACACACACACACACACCACACACAACAGAAAAGUGAGUGAUAAUCGAUUUUAAGGACUAACUCUGGAGCCAGACUAACUGGGCUCUGAUUACAGCUCUGAUUACAGCUCUGGUGGUAACUAGCUUUACGAUCUUGGGCACAUUAUUUAACCUCUUGUCCCUCAGUUGCUUCAUCUGUAAAACCGAGAUAACAAUUGCAAUUAUCUCAUAAAAUUAUUGGAAGGAGUUAAUGAAUUAGUAUCAGUAAAGUGAUUGGAACAAUUCCUGGCAUAUAAUAAGCUCCACAUAUAUGCUAUAUAAAUGCUAGUUAAAUAACUAGUUAAACACACAAUGAAAUGUAAUAAAAGAAAAUAAAAUUAAAGAUAAUAUAUUACCAAUUGGGUAGAUGGCAACAGAGAGAAUGAAGACAAAGAUGAAUAAUCAGAGAUCUCUUCUACCUGGAGAGAUAUUCCAUUAUAUGACAUGGUGGCAACUUGAGUGUGUAUAUAUAUAUAUAUAUAAUUCCCACAUUUAAGAAAAAAAGGUAUUCAAACAAAAAUCUGUACCCAUUCGAAUUUUGCAUAAAGAGAACCAUGAUGAGAAGGAAUUACUGUACUUUGGUGUGCUCAUAAAAUUAUUAUAUAUUUAUAAUGAUUUUUAAAAAUAUGGACUUUAGAUGACUAAUUUCUUAAUAUUGUACCUGUACAGAGACAUUUGGAGAAACAAAUUAAACCUUUAUAGAUAACCUUAAAUAUCUGAAUAUGUAUAGAGUUGAAUGAUGGGACAAUUGAGGGAAGGGGUAGACAGACAUUAGGAAAAACAAAUUAAACCUUUAUAGAUAACCUUAAAUAUCUGAACACAUGUCUAGUUGAAUGAUGGGACAAUGGAGGAAAGGGUGUAGUGAGCAUAGUUUGAAUGAUGGACAAUGGAAGGAAGGGGUGUAGUGAGCAUAGUCAGUUGGAAUGAUAGAUAAUGGAAGGAAGGGUGUAGUAAGCAUAGUCAGUUUGAAUGAUGGACAAUGAUAGGAAAGGUGUAGUGAGCAUAGUCAGUUUGAAUGAUGGACAAUGGAAGGAAGGGUGUAGUGAGCAUAGUCAGUUUGAAUGAUGGACAAUGAUAGGAAGGGUGUAGUGAGCAUAGUCAGUUUGAAUGAUGGACAAUGGAGGGAAGGGGUGUAGUGAGCAUAGUCAGUUAUGGAAGGAAGGGGUGUAGCGAGCAUAGUCGGUUUGAAUGAUGGACAAUGGAGGGAAGGGGUGUAGUGAGCAUAGUUUGAAUGAUGGACAACGGAGGGAAGGGGUGUAGUGAGCAUAGUUUGAAUGAUGGACAAUGGAAGGAAGGGUGUAGUGAGCAUAGUCAGUUUGGAUGAUGGACAAUGGAAGGAAGGGUGUAGUAAGCAUAGUCAGUUUGCAUUUGAAAGUGAUGCUGAAGUCCUCGUCAUUGGGAUGCCAGAGGGAUCUGGGUCACAAAACAUACAGAAACAUUUGUUUGUGAGUGUUGCGUGCAUUUGCACAUUUUUCAUGGGGAAAAGUCCAUCUGAUGAUCAAAAAAGUGUGUGUCCCAGCAAAGGUGCAGAAAUUAUUAUCAUUUGAUUUUCUGGUUAAUAGUAUGUGAAAGUAUUUUAAAGACAAUCUACUACUCAUCAUUUCAAUAAGAGAUAAUCUAAAAAUUACCCAUCUUGUAUGAAACAAAGAAAAGAAUCAGAGAAAUUAUAUAUUUAUUAUUCCUUAAAUGUUAUUUUUCUUCCUUUUACUUCUCUUCUAUAUUCACUGUUGCGGCAUUAUAUUGAUUUUUGUUUUCUUUUUGUAAUUUGGAAAGCAGCUAUGUUCACUAUUAUAUAAACAAUGCUUGAGAGUUUUCUUAUGUUGUUAUUAAAGUUGGUGUUCAGGUAAAUUACAUUAUCUAAUGAUUUCAUUUCAAGGUAAAACACAAACAGUUUUAUGUCUUAAAGAGGGCCUUGGUCUGAUAGGAAUGAGAACCACUCUGCCAUGCCCUAUGCGAACAAUUCUAAUUGAGUAAAAUCUAAUACUUUGCAAACUGUCCCAAGAGAGCUUACUGAUUUUACGGCAGAAGAAAAAGUUUCUAUGUAGAACUCUAUGUUUGAGAGGAGGAGAGGGGCUACAGCUAAGUAUAGAGAAAAAACAAGGUUCCAUAAUCAAGAAAGAAAAAGGUGGAAUCUGAGUCUGUCUUUUUCGUCUUUACCUCUGUGUGUGUAUGUUCUAUACCAUCAUGUCUCAUUUUUCUUUAUCUCUUAAAGGGCAAUGUGUGCACACAGCAGGCAUAUAUGUGUUAAUUGAUUCAUACUCCACACAAUCCCCAUUUCUCUUGUUCUUAUCCCGACCACAAUGGAGUUCAAUAGAGCUAACAAUGGAAAAGAUAAUGAGUGGGUCUAAAUUCAAUCCCCUUUUGUUUAAGCUAAUCUCCCUCUCUAAUUAAUGGCUGUUCAUACCAUUAUUGCUCACGAAUCUGGCGACAGUUCUCUGCAUCGGCGCAGGAAGCACUCUGUGAAAUCAUGUUGUCAAAGGGGACAGCAUAGUCCAGCUCCCAUUGCACCCUUGGUGACUUUUGGCCUAAUGAAAAAGGUGUGUGGAACAUGGAAACCAGAAGGAGCCCUCUCCUGUUAGUGCAGAGCUCCUGCUCCUGGGUUGCAUUCUAGCUUUCGUCACACAUUUUAAAAUCCAAAUGUAAGAAUGAUGUACCUUUGAAAAGACAGUGGGUUACAAUGAGGGACUGAAGGAGUGGGCAGGGUCAAGUAGGGAGGGAAGAGAGAGAAGGCACAAGAGGAGCUGUGAGGAAAUAUCUCCCAGCCUCCAUCCUCACCCUCCCUGAGCUUCCGCAGGGCUGAGGCUUCCUCUGCUGAGCUUGCGCACUUGGAGAAGCCCCCUCUGGGUGGUGAUUUCUGUGCUGCAGUUGACUCCCACAGUUUGACACACACACGCACACACACACUCAAAGUCUGCAAAGGCACCAGCAGCAGUACAUACAUGCUUUCCUAAUAGAAUGCUGCUUUUAAUAAACAGGCAGCCUCUUACUCUUUUAGUUUUUGUGGACUUCAUUGUUUAAAACUGUAAAUAAACAAAGAACUCUGGAUUCCUCAUCCAUACUAUUAAGUGUUAGUGUUUCCUUUACUGGAAGCCUUCAACGUAUCAGAAACUGUGCAGGGCGAUAGGGUACACAGAGGCCAAAGCCAAGGCUACUGCUUUGCGGGAACUCUCAAGCCAGGUGCUUAGAGACGGCUGUGUAUUGCGGACCUCAGCCACGGAGGGCUGAAUUUCACAGAAAUCUUGGUAUAUAUUUGUCACAUGUGUUGCUUAAUUAACAUUUCCAAAUAGUAAUUUUAGUCACCUCUAGAAUAAUCCAAUUAUACGUACAGUCACGUGUCACUUAAUGAAGGGAAUACGUUCUGAGAAAUGCAUCCUUAGGUGAUUUUGCCACUGUGUGAACAUCAUAGAGUGCACUCAUACAAACCCAGACGGCGCAGCCUCCUCCACACCCGGGCCACAUGGUACAGCCUGUUGCUCCCGGGAUACACACCUGCCCAGCAGGGGACGCUACUGAACACUGCAGGCAGCUGGAACACAAUGGUACGUAUUUAUGUAUCUAAACAUAAUAAACAGAGAAAAGGUACAGUAAAAACAUGGUAUAAAAAGUGGAAAAUGGUACACUUCUAUAGGGCGCUUAACCACGAAUGGAGCUAGCAGGACUGGAAGUUGCUGGGGUGAGUCUCUGAGUGAAUGGCGAGUGGAUGUGGAGGCCUGGGACGCUAUUGUACACCCCUUUAUAAACACUAGACACUCAUGCUACACUAAAUUUAUAAGAAAUACUUUUUCUUUCUUCAAUAAUGAUUAACCUUUGCUUACUGUAAUGUCAAACUUUUUAAUUACAAAAAUGACUCGUAAUUACACUUAGCUUAAAAUGCAAACACAUUGUACAGCUGUACAAAAAUAUUUUCUUUCUUUAUAUCUUUAUUCUUUCAGCCUUUUUGUAUUUAAUUUUUUUUUUGACUCUGUAAACUAGCUCAUCAUAAACAAAGUCACAAACACCUACACUAGCCUAGGCCUACACAGGGUCGGGACCAUCAAUAGCACUGCCUUCCACCUCCACAUAUUGUCCCACUGGAAGGUCUUCAGGGUGAUAACAUGCAUGGAGCUGUCACAGUGCAUGUGAAUAUGCACCACUCAUACUGUGGGUGAAAAUGCUUUCCUAGGGCUAUACACUAACCUUUACACUCAAAUGCAGUAAGUUGUGUUAGCUGUAUUGUUGAGCGCAGGGCUUGGGGACAGGGUUACAAAGCACAGACACUUGUGGGUUUUGAUCAUAUGCAUCCGGAAAAAUACAAUCACUUAUUUGGGUAGACAGGUAUUAUUUGUGUAUUUUCCUUUUAUAAACACUUAUCAAAUGCCUACUCUUUGCUAUUAUGUUGGUUUUGGUGAUAGAAACCAUAUGGUCCCAUCUUCGAAGAGUUUUCAGUCUAGGAGGGGAGGCAGCUUCACGAACAGUGAUUGCCGCAGAAUGUGGUCAGUACAUCGUCACGCAUCCAGGCACCACCACGGCGUGAUGCGGGGAGCGAGGAGCCAUGAAGUCAGGCAAAAGCAUGGAAAGAAAGAUCUUCGAAAAGGAGGGGGCCUGCAAAAGAACUGAAACAUGAAAAGCCGUUGAAACAAAACUGACAGGCAAUAUGGUCAAGUUCCUGAUGACCCAAAUGAUCACUCAUUCAGGCAGCUUGGCUCACCAAGAACAGACCUGGGGGCGGCCUGGGAGCGGGUAUCAGACUGCCACAGGUUAACAUAGAGAAGCGAGGUGAUGCUGGAUGCAGUGGGUCACGCCUGUAAUUCCAGCAUGUUGGGAAGCCAAGGCAGGAGGAUCACUUGAGGCCAGGAAUUGCAGACCAGCCUGGGCAACACAGUGUGAUGUCGUCACUCCAAAAAAUAAAUAAAAGAUUAGCUGGAUGUGGUGGUACGUGCCUGUGGUCCCACCUGCUUGGGAGGCUGAGGUGGGAGGAUCAUUUCAGCCCAGGAGUCCCAGGCUGCAGUGAGCCAUCAUCACGCUACUGCACCCCAGCCUGGGCGGCAAAACAAGACCCCCUACCUACAAAAAAAGAAAGAAGAGAAAAGUGAGGUCAUGCAGUGCAGGGGGCUUCCUGCAAUCCUAGAUCUUCAUGACUCCUGGCGCUUCUGUUGUCAGGACACUCAUUAAAACCCACCCCAUGAGCCUCUUUUUCUACCACCGUCGCCCCCUAUGAGUUUCCUUUUAUGCUACCAUCUGCCACGAUAAGCCUCUUCUUUCCACCAUCACACCCGUGAGCUUCUUGAGCUCAGGGACAUGUCUCAUUUGACUUGGCACCUAUGUUUGCUAUUACGAUACUGUGUAUUUAUAAGGCACCACAAUGUAUGAUUGUUACAUCAAUAAAUCAUCAGCAAACCUUGAAGAUUUAAUUGGGAAAAAAAUCAGCUUUUGUGGCAAGUCAAGAGUCCACAGGAGGCAGCUACUGGGGUCGGUGCUGUUGAGACUGCAAGGCCUGAGGAGCUGGAACCGUGACAGAUUGGAAACAGCACCUCCUCCUACCACAGGCUUUAUUCACAAGUAUAAUUUAUUUUUUCUGUGUAGGAGCUUGAGGGAUUUCAGAGCAUGACAUCGAGUAAAUGUAUUUUACAUGUUAUUCCUUCCUUGGCAUCAUGGUUUGAGCCAUUCAAAUAUCUUCAUAAUCAAAAGCAUAAUAAAUUAUGACUAAAACGGUGUACCUGUGAAAACGUCCCUCGCACUCUCCCCAGUUGGAGGCUGUGCUUUUACGGUCGCAGACAGCAGGGCUGUUUGUGAGAGCAGCAGGGCUCUGCGGCUGGAGCUGAGUCAGAAGACGCCUGGCCUGCACUGCGGAGGUGCGGAGACCACAGAGGUCGGCGUGGCUCCAUCACAGCUAGAGGAUUCUGGGACAUAAUAUCCGCUCUGGACUGAAUGGUUAAGUCCCUCCCAAAUUCAUGUUAAAACUCUAAUCCCCAGGAAGACAGUAUUAGGAGGCACGGCCUUUGGAAGGCGAUUAGGCCAGGAAGGGCUUAUUGCCCUUAUAAAGGAGAGGGCUCCUGUCCCCUUCAGCCACGGGAGGCCACAGUGAGAAGGCGCCAUCCAGAAGCCCGGACAGUAGCCCUCACCAGAUGCCAAAUCUCCCUGCACCUUGACCUUGGACUCCUUCACCUCCACAACUGUGAGAAAUAAAUCCUUCAUUGCUUAUAAGCCA